UAUNGGUCAAUGGGCGGGAGCCUGAACCAGCNAAGUCGCGUGAGGGAAGAAGGUCCUAUGGAUUGUAAACCUCUUUAGGCGGGGAGCAAUGCCGGGCACGCGUGCCCGGAGGGAGAGUACCCGGAGAAAAAGCAUCGGCUAACUCCGUGCCAGCAGCCGCGGUAAUACGGAGGAUGCGAGCGUUAGCCGGAUUUAUUGGGUUUAAAGGGUGCGUAGGCGGGCUGUUAAGUCAGCGGUCAAAUGUCGGGGCUCAACCCCGGCCUGCCGUUGAAACUGGCGGCCUCGAGUGGGCGAGAAGUAUGCGGAAUGCGUGGUGUAGCGGUGAAAUGCGUAGAUAUCACGCAGAACUCCGAUUGCGAAGGCAGCAUACCGGCGCCCUACUGACGCUGAGGCACGAAAGCGUGGGUAUCGAACAGG
Molecule: ribosomal RNA, 417 nt
Filed under: uncultured bacterium
Lineage: Bacteria
Description: bacterial SSU rRNA
Rfam family: Bacterial small subunit ribosomal RNA
Source: RNAcentral